GUUAUUUCUCUGUAUUAUUCUGGUGGUUGCCACUAAAAAUCGGAUAGUUUAUUAUUAUCGUUGUUCAUAUUAUUAUGUUGACUACUAUUUGUUUCUACUUACACAAAACUAUAACAACCUCGGUGCAUUUACGAGGUGAUAUAUCAUUACUGCAAUUAAAGCGUCGGCGAAGCAGCAACAGAACCCAGUCAGCUGUGGAGUUGUUUUACAUUCUUGUUGUGACGUGACGCGCGUGACUGUAGCAGCCCGAGCCAGAUGCCGCGCGCAGGUGAGCGAGGUGUGCCCGGGGAAAAGUCGACGAUCUCCUGCAGUCGUUUGGAGUAAGACUCAAGCAAGCGUCCAGAGUUUCAGUCAAUAAAAGGUAUGUAUUAUUUAUACAAAAUAAUCUUGUGGUAUUCAGAAAAAUGUAUUUGAAAAUAGAAAACAUAUAAGUGGCAUUAAUGACUGAUAAAUACUUAUAGGCCAACACGUGGUUCCAAUACAAUGGAACCUAUUUUGACAAGAUAUUCCUUGUAGAGCAUGCAGGGCAUAGACAAGUCCUGACCUAGGCAACAAUACAUUAUUUAUUGUCACAGGAAUGCUGAAUAAUUUGUAAAUAUUCCAGUUUAAACAAAAAAAGUUAUUGAAACAGAUCUGUAGUUUUAGCCUUGAGUUUGAGACUUUGUAGCCUUUUAAACAUCGUUUGUUUUCCUUCCCACGUUGUUACAAAUGUUUUGUUUUUUUGUCGUUUUCUUUUCGUUUUAUUCAACCUUCUGAGCCAUAUGAGUAGGUCUACUGGUAGUCUAAUGAUGUUAUUACAGUCAUUUAUGUUAUUGCACAAUAGGCAUUACUGCCACUGUUGUUAUUAAUGAUUGUUUAAUAACAAUAUGAUAAUAGCAAAACGAUUGAAUGAUAAUAUCUAUGAUCGUUGACCGUUCAGCAACUCUUCUUCUCUCUCUCUAUUCGUGUUCCAUGUUCUAAUCCUCGUGGACUUGGGCGCAUGGGAACAUGAAGAGACCACAGACUUUCUCCGCAACAAUAAAGACUAAACAACUCCCCAAAUCACGAGUAAUUGCGCGCUGGGAGACGGUUGGCGUUCACCGCUGUUCAGCUGUUCCUCCGGGAGGCGAGCUGGGGCUUCUCUACAGCGGCCGGCCGGGGCAAAGACUGUGGGCCAGUGGCGGGCGAUGACACACAUGCCAAUGCUGUUCCACCUGCGUCAGCUCUCAUAGCACGGAAAUACCAUCCAGGAGAAAGCCGACGGGACCCACAUGGGUGGCCAGGGAAGUGUAUACCCCUUUCAUACACCUCCAUCACAACGCCUGCUAAUUAAGCGGCACUAUCAAUCCAGGUUUUCUGCGGCUGCUGCGGACAAGCGGUCACUAGCUAAUGAGGCUUUAGCCUGCAGUCAGACGGAAUGCAGUAACACGUUGAGGUAAAUCUGAAUGUAUAGGCCGAGGCUAUUUACUUACAAUAGCUGAAAAUACUAUUUAUAUCAGGUCUACCUUGUCUUAUAAAUUGGACAAUAUGGAAAAUUGCAGUAAAUAAAACAACAAAAAUAUGAUCAGUUAUGAAUAGCCUAUAGGAUAUUAUUUUGUACAAACUAUAAGUCAACAUAAAUACGGGACGUAACAGUGAUUUUGUCAAUCAUAACGGUGUCCCAUGCAACAUUAACACGUGCCUUGAAUGGCAUUGAAAUUCCCGAAAUGAAUUACAGUACCUUGAAAUUCUCUUCCUCUUAAUCAUUUAUUUUUGACACACAAACUUUUCUCUAAGUUGUUUUCCUAUUCACUUGCAAUGAGUGCUAUCUUGUCUAAACCCCACUCUAACACAUGUCAUUUUUGAAACUUGUGUGAACAGGAAAAUGUAUU
RNAcentral lists this long non-coding RNA (1850 nucleotides) under Salmo trutta (river trout). RNAcentral's name for it is "lncRNA (ENSSTUG00000018562.1)". The record is from RNAcentral. Lineage: Eukaryota; Metazoa; Chordata; Actinopteri; Salmoniformes; Salmonidae.